This 774-nucleotide ribosomal RNA is filed under the name uncultured Neocallimastigales. Its description in RNAcentral is "partial large subunit ribosomal RNA". It matches the Rfam family "Eukaryotic large subunit ribosomal RNA", at positions 23 to 647 of the family's 3401-position model. The record is from RNAcentral. Lineage: Eukaryota; Fungi; Neocallimastigomycota; Neocallimastigomycetes; Neocallimastigales.
ACACGCAUGACACACUGCAUAUCAAUAAGCGGAGGAAAAGAAACUAACAAGGAUUCCCUUAGUAACGGCGAGUGAAGCGGGAAGAGCUCAAAUUUGAAAUCUUCAAGGUUCUACCUUGACGAAUUGUAGUUUAUAGAAGUGUUUUCUGUUAGUGGAGUGGCAAAAGUUCUUUGGAAUAGGACAUCAUAGAGGGUGAGAAUCCCGUAUUUGGUCAUUCCUCCUAGCGUUGUGAUACACUUUCAACGAGUCGGAUUGUUUGGGAAUGCAGUCCAAAAUGGGUGGUAAAUUUCAUCUAAAGCUAAAUAUUGGCGAGAGACCGAUAGCGAACAAGUACCGUGAGGGAAAGAUGAAAAGAACUUUGAAAGAGAGUUAAACAGUACGUGAAAUUGUCAAAAGGGAAGCGUUUGACACCAGUGUUGUUUUUCCGAAAAUCAAUUACGAAUGUUUUAGUUUUUGAGGAGUUAUGACUUCAUCGGCUUGCUCCUUUCUUUAUGAAACUUUCUUAAUGCACUUUUCGGUUAACAAGUCAACAUCAAUUUCUUUUGUUGUAAAAGGGUAUGAGGAAGGUGGCUUUCUUUUCGGAGAAAGUGUUUAUAGCCUUGUGCCUCUGCAAUCGGAGAGAUUGAGGUCUGCAGCGUAGAUCCUUCGGGGUUAGAUACGUUUGUGCUAAGUUAUAGCUUUUCAUAGACAACUUGUUGACUAUGUUUAGUCUUGUAGCUUACUCGCUGAUGCUAUUUUACCUACGCUUAGGAUGUUGACGAGACUGUCGAUCUC